AUUGAACGCUGGCGGCAUGCUUUACACAUGCAAGUCGGACGGCAGCGGGGUAGUGCUUGCACUACUGCCGGCGAGUGGCGAACGGGUGAGUAAUAUAUUGGAACGUACCGAGUAAUGGGGGAUAACCAAUCGAAAGAUUGGCUAAUACCGCAUACGCUCUGAGGAGGAAAGCAGGGGACCUUCGGGCCUUGCGUUAUUCGAGCGGCCAAUAUCUGAUUAGCUAGUUGGUGGGGUAAAGGCCUACCAAGGCGACGAUCAGUAGCGGGUCUGAGAGGAUGAUCCGCCACACUGGGACUGAGACACGGCCCAGACUCCUACGGGAGGCAGCAGUGGGGAAUUUUGGACAAUGGGCGCAAGCCUGAUCCAGCCAUGCCGCGUGUCUGAAGAAGGCCUUCGGGUUGUAAAGGACUUUUGUUAGGGAAGAAAAAGGAGCGGUUAAUACCCGUUUC
RNAcentral lists this ribosomal RNA (449 nucleotides) under Neisseria elongata. Its description in RNAcentral is "bacterial SSU rRNA". It matches the Rfam family "Bacterial small subunit ribosomal RNA", at positions 30 to 473 of the family's 1533-position model. Lineage: Bacteria; Pseudomonadati; Pseudomonadota; Betaproteobacteria; Neisseriales; Neisseriaceae. The record is from RNAcentral.